Molecule: ribosomal RNA, 442 nt
Filed under: Pleurodonte cf. sinuata ANSP 405612
Lineage: Eukaryota; Metazoa; Mollusca; Gastropoda; Stylommatophora; Pleurodontidae
Description: partial 16S ribosomal RNA
Rfam family: Bacterial large subunit ribosomal RNA
Source: RNAcentral
AACUAGGUGUAUUUUAUGCCUAGCUUUUUCUGCUCAAUGAAUAUUUAAAUAGCCGCAGUACUCUGACUGUGCAAAGGUAGCAUAAUCAGUUGGCUCAUAAUUGGAGUCUUGUAUGAACGAUCGCAUGGGUAAAACCUGUCUCUUAACGACCUAUAGAACUUUUUGAGUAAGUGWAAAUACUUACUAACGCCCUAAAAGACGAGAAGACCCUAKAAAUUUUUCACCAAGGACGCGUAGUAGCGUUUUCGUGUUUUGCUGGGGCGGCAGAGUAACACUUAAAAACUUGCUCUACACAUUAGACUUUUGUAUACGGAUAAACCAUAAUUACUCUAGGGAUAACAGCGUAAUUCAUAUUUGAGUUUGCGACCUCGAUGUUGGACUAGGGAGGAGAAUGCGCAGAAGGUGUUCUCUCACGUUCUGUUCGAACGAUAUCCCCUACAUG